AAACGGGGGAAAGGGGGGAAAGAGUCGCCGUAACCCGCACAGGUAGAAAUACGCGGGAAGUUUAUCCUACAAAAGCGAUAUUUCCUAACUUUUCGUUCGCAGAGCAGAAACAUAUUCGGAGGGAGUGGGGCGAACACAGUGUGUACGCGAGCACCUCGAAAAUUCGGCAACGCCGGGGGUUUUCCAUCCAGGUUGACCCUCGAAGGUUGGAGUACCGUUACGAUUGCCAAUUGCUAAACCCUUCGGAAAAACUCAGUUUAUGACAUGAACGGACCUAUUGAGGACAAACCGAAAAUUAAAUUCUGACUCUAUUGU
Non-coding RNA from Osmia lignaria (orchard mason bee), 315 nucleotides. The record is from RefSeq and is a predicted model, not a curated record. NCBI's taxonomy places the organism in Eukaryota, Metazoa, Arthropoda, Insecta, Hymenoptera, Megachilidae.